CUGGCGGCGUGCCUAACACAUGCAAGUCGAACGGGAAUCUUCGGAUUCUAGUGGCGGACGGGUGAGUAACGCGUAAGAAUCUAACUUCAGGACGGGGACAACAGUUGGAAACGACUGCUAAUACCCGAUGUGCCGAAAGGUGAAACCUAAUUGGCCUGAAGAAGAGCUUGCGUCUGAUUAGCUAGUUGGUGGGGUAAGAGCCUACCAAGGCGACGAUCAGUAGCUGGUCUGAGAGGAUGAGCAGCCACACUGGGACUGAGACACGGCCCAGACUCCUACGGGAGGCAGCAGUGGGGAAUUUUCCGCAAUGGGCGAAAGCCUGACGGAGCAACGCCGCGUGAGGGAGGAAGGUCUUUGGAUUGUAAACCUCUUUUCUCAAGGAAGAAGUUCUGACGGUACUUGAGGAAUCAGCCUCGGCUAACUCCGUGCCAGCAGCCGCGGUAAUACGGGGGAGGCAAGCGUUAUCCGGAAUUAUUGGGCGUAAAGCGUCCGCAGGUGGUCAGCCAAGUCUGCCGUCAAAUCAGGUUGCUUAACGACCUAAAGGCGGUGGAAACUGGCAGACUAGAGAGCAGUAGGGGUAGCAGGAAUUCCCAGUGUAGCGGUGAAAUGCGUAGAGAUUGGGAAGAACAUCGGUGGCGAAAGCGUGCUACUGGGCUGUAUCUGACACUCAGGGACGAAAGCUAGGGGAGCGAAAGGGAUUAGAUACCCCUGUAGUCCUAGCCGUAAACGAUGGAUACUAGGCGUGGCUUGUAUCGACCCGAGCCGUGCCGAAGCUAACGCG
This 781-nucleotide ribosomal RNA is filed under the name uncultured cyanobacterium. Its description in RNAcentral is "bacterial SSU rRNA". It matches the Rfam family "Bacterial small subunit ribosomal RNA", at positions 36 to 859 of the family's 1533-position model. Lineage: Bacteria; Bacillati; Cyanobacteriota. The record is from RNAcentral.